AACGAACGCUGGCGGCAUGCCUAACACAUGCAAGUCGAACGAGAUCUUCGGGUCUAGUGGCGCACGGGUGCGUAACGCGUGGGAAUCUGCCCUUUGGUUCGGAAUCACAGUUGGAAACGACUGCUAAUACCGGAUGAUGACGAAAGUCCAAAGAUUUAUCGCAAGAGGAUGAGCCCGCGUAGGAUUAGCUAGUUGGUAUGGUAAAGGCGCACCAAGGCGACGAUCCUUAGCUGGUCUGAGAGGAAGAUCAGCCACACGGGGACGGAGAAACGGCACAGACUCCUACGGGAGGCAGCAGUGGGGAAUAUUGGACAAUGGGCGAAAGCCUGAUCCAGCAAUGCCGCGUGAGUGAUGAAGGCCUUAGAGUUGUAAAGCUCUUUUACCCGGGAUGAUAAUGACAGUACCGGGAGAAUAAGCUCCGGCUAACUCCGUGCCAGCCGCCGCCGUAA
This 449-nucleotide ribosomal RNA is filed under the name uncultured bacterium. RNAcentral describes it as "partial 16S ribosomal RNA". It matches the Rfam family "Bacterial small subunit ribosomal RNA", at positions 29 to 523 of the family's 1533-position model. The record is from RNAcentral.